RNAcentral lists this ribosomal RNA (526 nucleotides) under uncultured bacterium. Its description in RNAcentral is "bacterial SSU rRNA". It matches the Rfam family "Bacterial small subunit ribosomal RNA", at positions 984 to 1509 of the family's 1533-position model. The record is from RNAcentral.
ACAUCCAGAGAACUUGGCAGAGAUGCCUUGGUGCCUUCGGGACCUCUGAGACAGGUGCUGCAUGGCUGUCGUCAGCUCGUGUUGUGAAAUGUUGGGUUAAGUCCCCGNAACGAGCGCAACCCCUAUCCUUUGUUGCCAGCGAUUCGGUCGGGAACUCAAAGGAGACUGCCGGUGAUAAACCGGAGGAAGGUGGGGAUGACGUCAAGUCAUCAUGGCCCUUACGAGUAGGGCUACACACGUGCUACAAUGGCGCAUACAAAGAGAAGCGACCUCGCGAGAGCAAGCGGACCUCAUAAAGUGCGUCGUAGUCCGGAUCGGAGUCUGCAACUCGACUCCGUGAAGUCGGAAUCGCUAGUAAUCGUAGAUCAGAAUGCUACGGUGAAUACGUUCCCGGGCCUUGUACACACCGCCCGUCACACCAUGGGAGUGGGUUGCAAAAGAAGUAGAUAGCUUAACCUUCGGGAGGGCGUUUACCACUUUGUGAUUCAUGACUGGGGUGAAGUCGUAACAAGGUAGGCGUAGCGAG